This 452-nucleotide long non-coding RNA is filed under the name Zea mays. Its description in RNAcentral is "long non-coding RNA (ZMAY_LNC004513)". The record is from RNAcentral. Lineage: Eukaryota; Viridiplantae; Streptophyta; Magnoliopsida; Poales; Poaceae.
ACACUUCCAUCUCUGUUUAGGGUUUAGAAUCUUAUGAACCUUCGUUUCUAUAUGGAUAUGAGGCGGAGUCCUAACUACAAAACGUUCAUCUCCAAUUGUCAAUUUUUCUCCUUCGUUCACACACUUCUAUAUCCAUUUAGGGUUUAUGAUCUUUGGAACCUCCGUUUCUAUACGUAUCUGAGAUGGAGUCCCAACUAUGAAACAUUCAUCUCCAAUUGUCAAGUCUUCUCUUUUAUUCACACGCUUCCAUCUCCAUUUAGGUUUAGGGUCUUCCGAAGAUCUGUUUCCAUAUGGAUCUGAGUUAGAGUAAUAAUUACGAAACUUACACCUCCAUUUAUGAUUUGGUUUCUACUGUAUCAUAUACUAUAUGGUUCUGCAGCUUAGAUUGUCUACCAUUUUCAGGACUUUCAGACAAGAACAUAAAAUGGUACAAUACCUAGAUACGAUUGUGG